RNAcentral lists this ribosomal RNA (254 nucleotides) under uncultured bacterium. RNAcentral describes it as "partial 16S ribosomal RNA". It matches the Rfam family "Bacterial small subunit ribosomal RNA", at positions 524 to 776 of the family's 1533-position model. The record is from RNAcentral.
UACGUAGGGACCGAGCGUUGUCCGGAAUCAUUGGGCGUAAAGAGCGUGUAGGCGGCCACUUAAGUCCUGCGUGAAAUCUUGCGGCUCAACCGCAAGCGGUCGUGGGAAACUGGGUGGCUAGAGUGCGGGAGAGGAGAGUGGAAUUCCUGGUGUAGCGGUGGAAUGCGCAGAUAUCAGGAAGAACACCCGUGGCGAAGGCGGCUCUCGUGGAACGCAACUGACGCUGAGGCACGAAAGUGUGGGGAUCAAACAGG